Triticum aestivum (bread wheat) is the source of this 124-nucleotide non-coding RNA. The record is from Rfam. NCBI's taxonomy places the organism in Eukaryota, Viridiplantae, Streptophyta, Magnoliopsida, Poales, Poaceae.
UUAUUACUCCUUCCGUCCGGAAAUACUUUCCGAAGAAUGGAUGUAUCUAGAUGUAUUUUAGUUCUAGAUACAUCCGUUUGUAUCCAUUUCUAUGGCAAGUAUUUUCAGAUGGAGGGAGUAUAUA